CCAGACUCCUACGGGAGGCAGCAGUGGGGAAUAUUGGGCAAUGGACGCAAGUCUGACCCAGCAACGCCGCGUGAAGGAAGAAGGCUUUCGGGUUGUAAACUUCUUUUCUCAGGGACGAAGCAAGUGACGGUACCUGAGGAAUAAGCCACGGCUAACUACGUGCCAGCAGCCGCGGUAAUACGUAGGUGGCAAGCGUUAUCCGGAUUUACUGGGUGUAAAGGGCGUGUAGGCGGGACUGCAAGUCAGAUGUGAAAAUUAUGGGCUCAACCCAUAACCUGCAUUUGAAACUGUAGUUCUUGAGUGAUGGAGAGGCAGGCGGAAUUCCGUGUGUGGCGGUGAAAUGCGUAGAUAUACGGAGGAACUCCAGUGGCGCAGGCGGCCUGCUGGACAUUAACUGACGCUGAGGCGCGAAAGCGUGGGGAGCAAACAGGAUUAGAUACCCCGGUA
RNAcentral lists this ribosomal RNA (447 nucleotides) under uncultured bacterium. RNAcentral's name for it is "bacterial SSU rRNA". It matches the Rfam family "Bacterial small subunit ribosomal RNA", at positions 331 to 792 of the family's 1533-position model. The record is from RNAcentral.